RNAcentral lists this ribosomal RNA (240 nucleotides) under uncultured bacterium. RNAcentral describes it as "partial 16S ribosomal RNA". It matches the Rfam family "Bacterial small subunit ribosomal RNA", at positions 94 to 334 of the family's 1533-position model. The record is from RNAcentral.
AGUGGCGGACGGGUGAGUAACGCGUGGGUAACCUGCCUCAUACAGGGGGAUAACAGUUAGAAAUGACUGCUAAUACCGCAUAAGACCACGGAGCCGCAUGGCUCAGUGGGAAAAACUCCGGUGGUAUGAGAUGGACCCGCGUCUGAUUAGGUAGUUGGUGGGGUAACGGCCUACCAAGCCGACGAUCAGUAGCCGACCUGAGAGGGUGACCGGCCACAUUGGGACUGAGACACGGCCCAA